Molecule: long non-coding RNA, 1746 nt
Filed under: Mytilus galloprovincialis (Mediterranean mussel)
Lineage: Eukaryota; Metazoa; Mollusca; Bivalvia; Mytilida; Mytilidae
Source: RNAcentral
UUUUUUUUGUUUCUUGAUUUAGUUCACGAUAAAGUUUCACAGUCUUCACACUUCCAUUUUAUAGUGUGUUUUUCCCCUGUUUUCUGUUUAGUUAGUGUACAAUAAAUAAUCACAGUCAAUACACUUCCAUUUUAUUGGUUUUGAGUUCGAGCAAUUAGAAAUUUUAGAUUUUAACAUGUCCUGUGGUGUUGUUUGCUAGUUUGUACAACUGCAGUGAAUGCAUUUUAUUAAUACACGAACAUCACUUGAUAAGUUAGCAUUUCUUUCGUUUUUUUAAUGGUCUUUUAUUUAAGGGGUCUGACCAAAUAUCAAGCCAAAUAUCAGAGUCGUAUGGAACUUAAAUUGAAACUAAGAUAUGUGAAUUCAAAGGAAAAAAUAAGAUUAAAAAAUCAUAUUUUUUUUAUUUAGAUGGGUGUAGUCUUAAAUAGAAAAACAACUUGCAGCUUUUGCAUUUUAAAGUCUUAAAGUGCUGGAAAAUAAUGAAAAAGAAUAUAUAUACGUUGUAAAACUGAUUUUACUGUGGCACAGAUGAAAAUUUCACAGUCAAUGCAUUUCCAUUUUAUGUUUCUCGAAUCUGCAAUUUGAACAUAAGUUCAUUUGACUCAUAAUUCAGUAUUUUUUUUAUUUUUUUUUUUAAAUCAGUUCACAUUUCCCUGUCUCAAUUUUAUAAAGGCUUAUGAUAGGUGUCUGAGCUUGAUUGAGCUUGAUUAACAAGUGAAAAUGUAUGUUUAUUAUUAAAAGACAGCAUUUCUAUGUUUCGUAUACAUGUACAUUAUAUAUUACUCAACUUGUUUACUGCAACGGGAUUGAAUUUGGUUAUAUCCAAUUUACAAAAAUGUCUUUACAAUUUCAAGCUUUAAACAAAAUCACUUGGAAUGUUUAUUUUUAAAAUGUAUUUUUAUAUUAACCUGUUGUCUUGUAAACAGCAUGCACUUGUUGAAGAAAAUGGCACAAUAUUACCAUGCAAAGCUUGUAAAACCAUAAUGCAGUCAAACUUGUUUUCUCUUCUUUUUUUAAGAAAAAAGUGUAUUUGUCAGCAACUAUUGAAAUAUCAUAAAAUGUAAUCUAAUUAAGUUAAAGUUGUAUGAAAAAUUCACAAUAUUAUAAAAACUACAUUGAUAACUCUUAUUAAAAUUUGAUUUCUGUAAAUUCAGAAAAUUUACAGCACUGGUACUUAAAUUAUAAAUAUCUGUAAUAAAGACCAUUACAUGGCUUUAGUUCAAUCCAGGCCUUGCAGUCAUAUGUUUGAUUUCAUGUAUUGAGCAUGAUUUUUGUGCUCCAAGCAAUGAGCAUGAUUUUUGAGCUCCAAGCAAUGAGCAAAGUUUUAUGACGUCAACCCCAGACUUCAGUAUCUAAAAGAAAAUGUCCGCCUUCAGUAUUAUGACAUGUUACUGUACCUUUUAUCUGUUGCAGAACAAUCAUUGACAUUGUACUUCUGUAUGAAAUAUUUGUUUCAAAAUUCGUACCAAAAGAGAUAAUUGACAGCUAAUAAAUUUCUUACAAAAAUCAGUUUGUAUAGGGAAAAAUCAAUGGACAUAAAAUCAGAAAUAUUUCUUUUUAAGAUUCUUCAAUUAUCAUGUUAGAUAGUUGGGGGAAAUAGCCUUGUCUUUUUUCAGUGUAAGUUAGUCUGAUUUUAUAUAAUUUCUGAAAUUAAAAUUUAUUUUUAUUAUUCAUAAAUGUUAUUUGGUCUGCUUUGCAUUAUUUAAAACUGGCAUUUUUAUUCAUGUUAUAAAAGUAUUUAAGAAG